Molecule: ribosomal RNA, 475 nt
Filed under: uncultured bacterium
Lineage: Bacteria
Description: partial 16S ribosomal RNA
Rfam family: Bacterial small subunit ribosomal RNA
Source: RNAcentral
GAUGAACGCUGGCGGCGUGCUUAACACAUGCAAGUCGAACGAUGAACCUCACUUGUGGGGGGAUUAGUGGCGAACGGGUGAGUAACACGUGAGUAACCUGCCCUUGACUCUGGGAUAAGCCUGGGAAACCGGGUCUAAUACUGGAUACGACCUUCUGGCGCAUGCCAUGUUGGUGGAAAGCUUUUGUGGUUUUGGAUGGACUCGCGGCCUAUCAGCUUGUUGUUGGGGUAAUGGCCUACCAAGGCGACGACGGGUAGCCGGCCUGAGAGGGUGACCGGCCACACUGGGACUGAGAGACGGCCAAGACUCCUACGGGAGGCAGCAGUGGGGAAUAUUGCACAAUGGGCGCAAGCCUGAUGCAGCGACGCCGCGUGAGGGAUGAAGGCCUUCGGGUUGUAACCCUCUUUCAGUAGGGAAGAAGCCGGCUUUUGGGUUGGUGACGGUACCUGCAGAAGAAGCGCCGGCUAACUACGUG